Molecule: long non-coding RNA, 1010 nt
Organism: Myotis myotis
Lineage: Eukaryota; Metazoa; Chordata; Mammalia; Chiroptera; Vespertilionidae
Exons: 3
Source: RefSeq, a predicted model, not a curated record
AACAGACCUCGCCUCCCCACAUGGCUCCCAGCCUUCAGACAGCAUGGCCGUCCUCCAUCAGCUCGAAGGCCCUCCCGUGCCCCAGGCGGGUCCCUGGAAACCACAGGAACCGCGAGGGAAGGCAGCGAGACGUCGGCCCAUUUUCAACGGGGAGCAGGGGGAGGAGGAGGAGAGCUGAGCUGCGUGUGGUUGGGUUUUUACUGCAACGAGGGAGGGAAACCAGGGGUGUAGACAUCCAUCACCAGGGGAAAGAAUGAAGGCGCCCUGAGCCAGCUGAGCCACUUCCAACAACGACCGAGGCCAAAACCCGCGGGCAGGGCAGGCGCCAUCCGAGAGCCACGGGGAGGUUAACCUGGGACCCAGGCGGUACCUAACCUUCUGCAUGGGCCUCGGAAACCCAGCUCCGCCCACAGCCACCGGUGGAGUCACGGCGCCUACGAACACCCGUCGGCCAGGAACCUGGAGCUGGGCCUGGUCUGGAAAUCAGGACUUGACGGAGGAACAAAGGGAUGGAGAUGAGGUCGUGACUACGCGUCAGCCCUCGCCCCAUCAGGGUGUCCUGGUGGGGGACAGAAAAGGCCCCCCAGGGACACAGAGGAGGCCCAGGAAGACAGAAGCAGAGGCUGGGGUGAUGCGGCCACAAGCCAACGUGUGCUGGCGGUCCCGGGAGCUGGAGGUGGCGAGGAAGAUCCUCCGGAGCCUCCAGAGGGAGCCCGUCCGCCCUGGCCCCUGACGGCCAGCUUCCUGCCUCCAGGACUGUGCGCGAAUGCAUUUCUGUGUGUCAGCUGUCCCGUGGGUGGGAUUUGUCACGGCUUCUGGGGUUUAAUGCUCCCAACAACCCCAGUUCACAGGGCAGGGCGGGAGGGGGGCGCGAGGAGCAAGGGGUGUCCCUCAAGGUGACACCGGGGCCGGAUCCAAGCGUCACUGCUCUCCUACCCCCUUGGACUCAAUUCCAGACCAUGCAGCCCGGCCGCGUGGCUCAGUGGUGAGCGUCAGCCUAGGAACUGGGA